UACGUAGGGGGCAAGCGUUGUCCGGAAUUAUUGGGCGUAAAGCGCGCGCAGGCGGUCUUUUAAGUCUGAUGUGAAAGCCCCCGGCUCAACCGGGGAGGGUCAUUGGAAACUGGGAGACUUGAGUGCAGAAGAGAAGAGUGGAAUUCCACGUGUAGCGGUGAAAUGCGUAGAGAUGUGGAGGAACACCAGUGGCGAAGGCGACUCUUUGGUCUGUAACUGACGCUGAGGCGCGAAAGCGUGGGGAGCAAACAGG
RNAcentral lists this ribosomal RNA (253 nucleotides) under uncultured bacterium. RNAcentral's name for it is "partial 16S ribosomal RNA". It matches the Rfam family "Bacterial small subunit ribosomal RNA", at positions 524 to 776 of the family's 1533-position model. The record is from RNAcentral.